This 1703-nucleotide ribosomal RNA is filed under the name marine metagenome. RNAcentral's name for it is "bacterial LSU rRNA". It matches the Rfam family "Bacterial large subunit ribosomal RNA", at positions 1156 to 2838 of the family's 2925-position model. The record is from RNAcentral.
GGCCUGCGCGGAAGAUGUAACGGGGCUUAAGCCAUAUACCGAAGCUGUGGAUUCAUACUUUGUAUGAGUGGUAGAGGAGCGUUCUGUACGCCUGUGAAGGUGAAUCGUAAGGUUUGCUGGAGGUAUCAGAAGUGCGAAUGCUGACAUGAGUAACGAUAAAGGGAGUGAAAAACUCCCUCGCCGGAAGACCAAGGGUUCCUGUCCAACGUUAAUCGGGGCAGGGUAAGUCGACCCCUAAGGCGAGGCCGAAAGGCGUAGUCGAUGGGAAACGGGUUAAUAUUCCCGUACUUCUUACAAUUGCGAUGGGGGGACGGAGAAGGCUAGGUGGGCCUGGCGACGGUUGUCCAGGUUCAAGUGCGUAGGCUUAAGAGUUAGGUAAAUCCGGCUCUUUCUAAGGCUGAGACACGACGUCGAGCAUCUACGGAUGUGAAGUCAUUGAUGCCAUGCUUCCAGGAAAAGCCUCUAAGCUUCAGAUUGUAAGGAAUCGUACCCCAAACCGACACAGGUGGUCGGGUAGAGAAUACCAAGGCGCUUGAGAGAACUCGGGUGAAGGAACUAGGCAAAAUGGUACCGUAACUUCGGGAGAAGGUACGCCGACUAUGGUGAUGGGACUUGCUCCCUAAGCUGAAGUCGGUCGAAGUAACCAGGUGGCUGGAACUGUUUAUUAAAAACACAGCACUGUGCAAAAUCGAAAGAUGACGUAUACGGUGUGACGCCUGCCCGGUGCCGGAAGGUUAAUUGAUGGGGUUAGACUUCGGUCGAAGCUCUUGAUCGAAGCCCCGGUAAACGGCGGCCGUAACUAUAACGGUCCUAAGGUAGCGAAAUUCCUUGUCGGGUAAGUUCCGACCUGCACGAAUGGCGUAACGAUGGCCACACUGUCUCCACCCGAGACUCAGUGAAAUUGAAAUCGCUGUGAAGAUGCAGUGUACCCGCGGCUAGACGGAAAGACCCCGUGAACCUUUACUACAGCUUGGCACUGAACAUUGACCCUACAUGUGUAGGAUAGGUGGGAGGCUUUGAAACCAUGUCGCUAGAUAUGGUGGAGCCGUCCUUGAAAUACCACCCUUGUAUGCUUGAUGUUCUAACGUCGGUCCCUAAUCGGGAUUGCGGACAGUGCCUGGUGGGUAGUUUGACUGGGGCGGUCUCCUCCCAAAGAGUAACGGAGGAGCACGAAGGUGGGCUAAACACGGUUGGACAUCGUGUGGUUAGUGCAAUGGCAUAAGCCCGCUUGACUGCGAGAAUGACAAUUCGAGCAGGUGCGAAAGCAGGUCAUAGUGAUCCGGUGGUUCUGAAUGGAAGGGCCAUCGCUCAACGGAUAAAAGGUACUCCGGGGAUAACAGGCUGAUACCGCCCAAGAGUUCAUAUCGACGGCGGUGUUUGGCACCUCGAUGUCGGCUCAUCACAUCCUGGGGCUGAAGUCGGUCCCAAGGGUAUGGCUGUUCGCCAUUUAAAGUGGUACGCGAGCUGGGUUUAGAACGUCGUGAGACAGUUCGGUCCCUAUCUGCCGUGGGCGUUGGAAAAUUGAAGGGGGCUGCUCCUAGUACGAGAGGACCGGAGUGGACGAACCUCUGGUGUUCGGGUUGUCAUGCCAAUGGCAUUGCCCGGUAGCUAAGUUCGGAAUCGAUAACCGCUGAAAGCAUCUAAGCGGGAAGCGAGCCCUGAGAUGAGUUUUCCCUGACACUUUAAGUGUCCUAAAGGGUUGU